GACGAACCGUGCGAACGUUGUUCGGAAUCACUGGGCUUAAAGGGCGCGUAGGCGGGCUGCCAAGUCUGUGGUGAAAUCCUCCGGCUCAACCGGAGAACGGCCGUGGAUACUGGCGGUCUCGAGGGAGGUAGGGGCAUGCGGAACUGUGCGUGGAGCGGUGAAAUGCGUUGAUAUGCACAGGAACUCCGGUGGCGAAGGCGGCAUGCUGGACCUCUUCUGACGCUGAGGCGCGAAAGCUAGGGGAGCGAACAGG
This 253-nucleotide ribosomal RNA is filed under the name uncultured bacterium. Its description in RNAcentral is "partial 16S ribosomal RNA". It matches the Rfam family "Bacterial small subunit ribosomal RNA", at positions 524 to 776 of the family's 1533-position model. The record is from RNAcentral.